This 415-nucleotide ribosomal RNA is filed under the name uncultured bacterium. RNAcentral describes it as "bacterial SSU rRNA". It matches the Rfam family "Bacterial small subunit ribosomal RNA", at positions 355 to 787 of the family's 1533-position model. The record is from RNAcentral.
UGGGGAAUAUUGCACAAUGGGGGAAGCCCUGAUGCAGCGACGCCGCGUGAAGGAAGAAGUAUCUCGGUAUGUAAACUUCUAUCAGCAGGGAAGAAAAUGACGGUACCUGACUAAGAAGCCCCGGCUAACUACGUGCCAGCAGCCGCGGUAAUACGUAGGGGGCAAGCGUUAUCCGGAUUUACUGGGUGUAAAGGGAGCGUAGACGGAAGAGCAAGUCUGAUGUGAAAGGCUGGGGCUUAACCCCAGGACUGCAUUGGAAACUGUUUUUCUAGAGUGCCGGAGAGGUAAGCGGAAUUCCUAGUGUAGCGGUGAAAUGCGUAGAUAUUAGGAGGAACACCAGUGGCGAAGGCGGCCACCUGGCACAUGACUGGCGCUGAGGUGCGAAAGCGUGGGUAUCGAACAGGAUUAGAUACCC